This 408-nucleotide ribosomal RNA is filed under the name uncultured bacterium. Its description in RNAcentral is "partial 16S ribosomal RNA". It matches the Rfam family "Bacterial small subunit ribosomal RNA", at positions 28 to 526 of the family's 1533-position model. The record is from RNAcentral.
GACGAACGCUGGCGGCGUGCUUAACACAUGCAAGUCGAACGAAGUGGCGAACGGGUGAGUAACGCGUAAUCAACCUGCCCUUCAGAGGGGCAAAACAGUUGGAAAAGACUGCUAAUACCGCAUACUGAAGGAGGGGAAUGUGUCUGAUUAGCUAGUUGGAGGGGCAACGGCCCACCAAGGCGAUGAUAAGUCGCCGGUCUGAGCGGAUGAACGGCCACAUUGGGACUGAGACACGGCCCAGACUCCUACGGGAGGCAGCAGUGGGGAAUCUUCCGCAAUGGACGAAAGUCUGACGGAGCAACGCCGCGUGAGUGAUGACGGCCUUCGGGUUGUAAAGCUCUGUUAAUCGGGACGCGGUACCGGAAUAGAAAGCCACGGCUAACUACGUGCCAGCAGCCGCGGUAAUAC